Molecule: transfer RNA, 85 nt
Filed under: Felis catus (domestic cat)
Lineage: Eukaryota; Metazoa; Chordata; Mammalia; Carnivora; Felidae
Also listed under: 3 other names
Rfam family: tRNA
About the family: Transfer RNA (tRNA) molecules are approximately 80 nucleotides in length. Their secondary structure includes four short double-helical elements and three loops (D, anti-codon, and T loops).
Source: Rfam by way of RNAcentral
GCCUGGGUGGCUCAGUUGGUUAAGCAUCUGGCUUUGGCUUAGGUCAUGAUCUCAUGGUUUGUGGGUUUGAGCCCCACAUCAGGCU